UUAAGUUCAGCGGGUUUUCCUACCUGAUUUGAGACCAAGUUUUCAGAUUCAGUUCCAAACGGAACGGAAAAUGAGUUUUGAACUGGAGUUGCCCACACUUGCCAAAGAAGUUAACCUGGGAAUGAGUGAAAUCGUAAAGGACUUAACCUAUUCAUGCACUCAUAUAGACCCAAGUUGCCUUAGCAAACGGAUGGUCAAAA
RNAcentral lists this unclassified non-coding RNA (200 nucleotides) under Dothideomycetes sp. RNAcentral describes it as "partial internal transcribed spacer 2". The record is from RNAcentral. Lineage: Eukaryota; Fungi; Ascomycota; Dothideomycetes.